RNAcentral lists this ribosomal RNA (1383 nucleotides) under Staphylococcus argenteus. RNAcentral's name for it is "bacterial LSU rRNA". It matches the Rfam family "Bacterial large subunit ribosomal RNA", at positions 1542 to 2925 of the family's 2925-position model. The record is from RNAcentral. Lineage: Bacteria; Bacillati; Bacillota; Bacilli; Caryophanales; Staphylococcaceae.
CCGGUACUCAUUAAGGCUGAGCUGUGAUGGGGAGAAGACAUUGUGUCUUCGAGUCGUUGAUUUCACACUGCCGAGAAAAGCCUCUAGAUAGAAAAUAGGUGCCCGUACCGCAAACCGACACAGGUAGUCAAGAUGAGAAUUCUAAGGUGAGCGAGCGAACUCUCGUUAAGGAACUCGGCAAAAUGACCCCGUAACUUCGGGAGAAGGGGUGCUCUUUAGGGUUAACGCCCAGAAGAGCCGCAGUGAAUAGGCCCAAGCGACUGUUUAUCAAAAACACAGGUCUCUGCUAAACCGUAAGGUGAUGUAUAGGGGCUGACGCCUGCCCGGUGCUGGAAGGUUAAGAGGAGUGGUUAGCUUCUGCGAAGCUACGAAUCGAAGCCCCAGUAAACGGCGGCCGUAACUAUAACGGUCCUAAGGUAGCGAAAUUCCUUGUCGGGUAAGUUCCGACCCGCACGAAAGGCGUAACGAUUUGGGCACUGUCUCAACGAGAGACUCGGUGAAAUCAUAGUACCUGUGAAGAUGCAGGUUACCCGCGACAGGACGGAAAGACCCCGUGGAGCUUUACUGUAGCCUGAUAUUGAAAUUCGGCACAGCUUGUACAGGAUAGGUAGGAGCCUUUGAAACGUGAGCGCUAGCUUACGUGGAGGCGCUGGUGGGAUACUACCCUAGCUGUGUUGGCUUUCUAACCCGCACCACUUAUCGUGGUGGGAGACAGUGUCAGGCGGGCAGUUUGACUGGGGCGGUCGCCUCCUAAAAGGUAACGGAGGCGCUCAAAGGUUCCCUCAGAAUGGUUGGAAAUCAUUCAUAGAGUGUAAAGGCAUAAGGGAGCUUGACUGCGAGACCUACAAGUCGAGCAGGGUCGAAAGACGGACUUAGUGAUCCGGUGGUUCCGCAUGGAAGGGCCAUCGCUCAACGGAUAAAAGCUACCCCGGGGAUAACAGGCUUAUCUCCCCCAAGAGUUCACAUCGACGGGGAGGUUUGGCACCUCGAUGUCGGCUCAUCGCAUCCUGGGGCUGUAGUCGGUCCCAAGGGUUGGGCUGUUCGCCCAUUAAAGCGGUACGCGAGCUGGGUUCAGAACGUCGUGAGACAGUUCGGUCCCUAUCCGUCGUGGGCGUAGGAAAUUUGAGAGGAGCUGUCCUUAGUACGAGAGGACCGGGAUGGACAUACCUCUGGUGUACCAGUUGUCGUGCCAACGGCAUAGCUGGGUAGCUAUGUGUGGACGGGAUAAGUGCUGAAAGCAUCUAAGCAUGAAGCCCCCCUCAAGAUGAGAUUUCCCAACUUCGGUUAUAAGAUCCCUCAAAGAUGAUGAGGUUAAUAGGUUCGAGGUGGAAGCAUGGUGACAUGUGGAGCUGACGAAUACUAAUCGAUCGAAGACUUAAUCAA